UUCGCAAUGCCCGAAAGGGUGACGAAGCGACGCCGCGUGCGGGAAGAAGGCCUUCGGGUUGUAAACCGCUGUCGGGAGUUAAGAAAUGCAAGGAUAUUAAUAGUGUCUUUGCUUGACUAAGGCUCCGGAGGAAGCCACGGCUAACUCUGUGCCAGCAGCCGCGGUAAUACAGAGGCGGCAAGCGUUGUUCGGAAUUAUUGGGCGUAAAGAGCACGUAGGCGGCUAUGUAAGUCGGUUGUGAAAGCCUUCCGCUCAACGGGAGAACAGCAUCCGAUACUGCAUGGCUUGAGUGCGAGAGGGGAGAGUGGAACUUCUGGUGGAGCGGUGAAAUGCGUAGAUAUCAGAAGGAACGCCGGCGGCGAAAGCGGCUCUCUGGCCCGUAACUGACGCUGAGUGUGCGAAAGCUAGGGGAGCAAACGGGAUUAGAUACCCCGGUAGUCCUAGCCGUAAACGAUGGGCACUAAGUAGAGGGGUUUU
This 477-nucleotide ribosomal RNA is filed under the name uncultured Candidatus Brocadia sp. RNAcentral describes it as "bacterial SSU rRNA". It matches the Rfam family "Bacterial small subunit ribosomal RNA", at positions 365 to 832 of the family's 1533-position model. The record is from RNAcentral. Lineage: Bacteria; Pseudomonadati; Planctomycetota; Candidatus Brocadiia; Candidatus Brocadiales; Candidatus Brocadiaceae.